This 482-nucleotide ribosomal RNA is filed under the name uncultured bacterium. Its description in RNAcentral is "partial 16S ribosomal RNA". It matches the Rfam family "Bacterial small subunit ribosomal RNA", at positions 28 to 507 of the family's 1533-position model. The record is from RNAcentral.
AUUGAACGCUGGCGGCAUGCCUUACACAUGCAAGUCGAACGGCAACGGGGGUUCGGGUGCUCACGGGUGGCGAAGGGGUGAGUGAUAGAUCGGAACGUGCGAGAUCGCGGGGGCUAGGGGGGCAACAGCUGUGCUCAUACCGCAUACGCGCUGCGGAUGUAAGCCGGGGAGCGCAAGGUCUUACGAGGCCGCAGCGGCCGAUGGCGGGUUAGGUAGUUGGUGGGUUAGCGGCCGACCAAGCCGACGAUCUGUAGCUGGUCUGAGGGGAUGAGCAGCCACACUGGGACUGAGACACGGCCCAGACUCCUACGGGAGGCAGCAGUGGGGAAUGUUGGACAAUGGGCGCAAGCCUGAUCCAGCCAUGCCGCGUGCGUGAAGAAGGCCUUCGGGUUGUAAAGUGCUUUUGUUCGGAACGAAAAGACUUAGGUUAAUACAGGAGGAGCAUGACGGUACCGUAAGAAUAAGCACCGGCUAACUACGUG